CUGAAGGGCGCGUCCGGGUCAAUUGCGGAUUGCAACACCCGAUUUCGCUCGUCGUACCGUCGCAAAUGACGGUCGGCGAGGGGGAGCGCGUUACCGUCAG
Haladaptatus litoreus is the source of this 100-nucleotide regulatory RNA element. It matches the Rfam family "L4-Archaeoglobi ribosomal protein leades". The record is from Rfam. NCBI's taxonomy places the organism in Archaea, Methanobacteriati, Methanobacteriota, Halobacteria, Halobacteriales, Haladaptataceae.